GUCCACGCCGUAAACGAUGAAUGCUAGGUGUUAGGGGUUUCGAUACCCUUGGUGCCGAAGUUAACACAUUAAGCAUUCCGCCUGGGGAGUACGGUCGCAAGACUGAAACUCAAAGGAAUUGACGGGGACCCGCACAAGCAGUGGAGUAUGUGGUUUAAUUCGAAGCAACGCGAAGAACCUUACCAGGUCUUGACAUCCCUCUGACCGGCUUAGAGAUAGGCCUUUCCUUCGGGACAGAGGAGACAGGUGGUGCAUGGUUGUCGU
RNAcentral lists this ribosomal RNA (264 nucleotides) under uncultured bacterium. RNAcentral describes it as "partial 16S ribosomal RNA". It matches the Rfam family "Bacterial small subunit ribosomal RNA", at positions 793 to 1055 of the family's 1533-position model. The record is from RNAcentral.